Molecule: long non-coding RNA, 394 nt
Organism: Dipodomys ordii (Ord's kangaroo rat)
Lineage: Eukaryota; Metazoa; Chordata; Mammalia; Rodentia; Heteromyidae
Exons: 3
Source: RefSeq, a predicted model, not a curated record
CAAAAGCUGGAAAUGUAGCAGUGGUUCAAGUGGUAGAGCACUAGCCUUGAGCAAGAAACUUGAAGAACACUGCUCAGGCUCUGAGCUUAAGCCCCAGAACCAGCACAAAAUAUAAAACUUACAAGCUGUAUGGAAAGAAAAUAAGCACAGAAUGCAAAACCAGCUAAAGCCACCAGCACAACCAUGCUCAUUGCAGCAUUGUUUAAACAUAGCCAAGAGCUGGAAUCAACUCAGACGCCCCUCAACAGACAAAUGGAUCAAGAAAACGUGGUAAACAUCUUCAAGUUGCCUGAGAAAAUCUUAACCAGGAGCCAGUGGAUCCCACCUGUCAUCCUAGCUACUGAGGAGGCUGAGAUCUGAGGAUCGUGGUUCGAGGCCAGCCUGGGCAGGAAAG